Molecule: ribosomal RNA, 405 nt
Filed under: uncultured bacterium
Lineage: Bacteria
Description: bacterial SSU rRNA
Rfam family: Bacterial small subunit ribosomal RNA
Source: RNAcentral
UUGGGAAUAUUGCGCAAUGGACGAAAGUCUGACGCAGCGACGCCGCGUGAAGGAAGACGGCCUUCGGGUUGUAAACUUCUUUUAUAAAUGACGAUUGUGACGGUAAUUUAUGAAUAAGGACCUGCUAACUACGUGCCAGCAGCAGCGGUAAUACGUAGGGUCCAAGCGUUGUCCGGAUUUAUUGGGCGUAAAGAGCAUGUAGGUUGUUUGAUGUGUCGUGUCUUAAAGCUUCGGGCUCAACUCGAAAAUAGGACACGAAACUAUCAAGCUUUGAGGAUAGUAGGGGCAAGUGGAACUAGCGGAGUAGCAGUGAAAUGCGUUGAUCUCGCUAAGAACACCAAUGGCGAAGGCAACUUGCUAGACUAUCUCUGACACUGAGAUGCGAAAGCGUGGGGAGCGAACGGG